This is a long non-coding RNA of Sapajus apella (tufted capuchin), 402 nucleotides long. RefSeq lists it as uncharacterized. The transcript is spliced from 2 exons. The record is from RefSeq and is a predicted model, not a curated record. NCBI's taxonomy places the organism in Eukaryota, Metazoa, Chordata, Mammalia, Primates, Cebidae.
GAUGCAUAAAAUUAUACAAUGAUUGUAUCACUCCAAAACACUCUGCAAGUUGGGAGCAUGCAUGGACAUAAAUCACUCUUUAUCAUAAAGUACUGGCAGUGGAAAUGUACUGGCUCUUCUUGUUACGGGGUUAAUUUUGAAAUUCCAUCAUCUCUUUCAGUAAGAUGGAAGACCAGAUAAGCUAAACAAGCCCAGGGUCACAGAGCAAGGCCUUGAAAGAAUGCAGAAAAGAAAGCCAAAUUUUUCACUUGAAACUUAGAGUUUAACUAUUGAACACUCCCUGCCAAAGUUGUUUUCUUCCAUUUUAGUAUGUCCUUUCUUAAGGAAAAAUAAUGCCUUAAAGACAGCUGGUUAUAAAUGAGCAGGGAGAAAACACUUCAGUGAAAAGGAAUAUCUGAAAGA